CUGAGACAUUUGGGGAAAGUGCUUUUAGCGAGCACCUUUGAAGUUUGAAGGCCGGCACGGCACACGAGGGAGCCAACAGGCGACGCGUUGUCCUUCUGCUCUGCGUUUAUGAAGCGGCGGCGUGACGGCGCUCACACUGACAAUAGACCUGGUUAUCGG
This is a long non-coding RNA of Lethenteron reissneri (Far Eastern brook lamprey), 159 nucleotides long. RefSeq lists it as uncharacterized. The record is from RefSeq and is a predicted model, not a curated record. Lineage: Eukaryota; Metazoa; Chordata; Hyperoartia; Petromyzontiformes; Petromyzontidae.